This is a non-coding RNA of Camellia sinensis, 3966 nucleotides long. NCBI's taxonomy places the organism in Eukaryota, Viridiplantae, Streptophyta, Magnoliopsida, Ericales, Theaceae. The record is from RefSeq and is a predicted model, not a curated record.
UUCCCCACUUUCCAUUAUUUUUGUCCACUAAUGCCUUUUGGCAUAUUCCAAUAUUGUUGUCCAUUUUUAAAAGAAAGGUAUUUUAUUUUGCAUUUUACAAUAUCAUUAUUUUUGGAUGAGUAUGAAUGCAUUUACCAAACCGAAACAAAUUAAACCUUGUGUCUCAAUCAAGUGGGGGUGGCUACAUAAUUUUUUUUUUUUGUGGUCAUUUAGCUCUAUCAAAGUUUGUAUGUUCUGUUAAAUUAAAUAAAUUUAUAUUUUCUUUGAUUGUGGUGAGUAUGCAUCAGAUGUCAGCUCAAGUCUUCCAUGUUAAGUAGUUCUCUCUCAACUUAUUUUCAAUAAAUGCUAUUCCUACCAUUUCAUGAAUAUAUUCAUUUCUAAUCUAUCUUUUUUAGUUUUACCACAAAUCUAUCCAAAGCAUUCUCAUCUCAGUUGCCCAACACUUUCUUCUAUAAAGCAGAAUUGUUGGCCUUCUAUUGAGUAUGAAUGCAUUUAAUAGAGUAAAAUAGAGGGAUGGUUUUGGAAAUUCAGACUAUAUUAGUUGGUUAUGAACACAGUCAAUGCAUGUCCCCUUAAAAAUUGUAUGUAAUCAGUGGCUUAUUAAAUACAGCCACAUCACCCGCAUGUUUUUGUAUGCACAUGUAGAUGCAACUUCUUCUUAAACACACUUUUAUACUAUUCUCGAGAAGUUAACAGAGACUGGUGGAUGACUAUGAAUGUGCAUUGCGACAAUUGGGUCAUUAAUCAUUACAUUGGAUUCCAACCUCAAGUAUGCAGUUGUUCCCUACUGAAACAGCGAAAUGUAGAAUUGCUCUCUUCAUUUUUACAUUUUCAAAACUAGACUUUGCAAAUGUUGUGCCCUCUUUCUAUUGGCUUCUUGUGCAUUGCUGAUGUUGCGACUUUUUGGCAAUUUACUAGUUUUAAGUUUCACUUCACCAGUGUGAAAGAUAUUGUUUAAUUGUCUUGGUUGGGUUAGUCUGUUCUCUAUUGUCAUUGCAUGAUUUGAUAUUUUGUGCGUGUACCACAGAUUUUUACAGACACACCAUCAUGCUUAAAUCUGAGAUGUGGUUAUCUUGUUAGUAAAUAUAUGCACAUGCACUUCUGUUGAUUUGAUAUGGACUUCACUGACAUUUAGAACCUGGAGUAAUUGGAAUUGAUUGAUAUUUACUUCCAUUUUGGUGAAUCCUUUUUAUUUUUAAUCCUCCAGAAUUUAUCAUUUCAUGGUAAUUUGACGACCAAUAUAUUUACAUUGCGCCAUUUAAUUUAUCAUGAUUUUUUUUUUAUUGUUUAAAAGUCUCUGUGGUUGAGGUAUUCACAGGUUUAGUCUUCUACGGUAGGAGAUGAGUAUUUAAAGUGUAUUAUCAUAUGGAAUUUCAGUAGGUUGGUUGUUACAGUACAAUUUUGUUGUUGAUGGAAACUUGAGGGUCCAAUUGUCUUCUAAUUUUGAUUGUGAUAUCAUUAAGCGACUUUUUCUUAUCUUUUAACUGAUUGAUCUUUGAAAUAUAAAGGACGAUGUUAAGUAUAUAUACAUAUAUGUAUUUAUAUAGACAUUGUAACUUACAUUGGCAUCUAAUGUAGGUGCGUUUGAUUGGGUAUUGCGUAGAGGGCUCUCUUUUUCUAGUCUAUGAAUUUAUCGAGAAUGGCAAUUUAAGUGAACAUUUACGUGGAGGGAGGGACCCCCUGCCAUGGUCUACAAGGGUGCAAAUUGCCCUUGAUUCAGCGAGAGGACUUGAAUAUAUUCAUGAGCAUACUGUUCCUAUCUAUAUCCAUCGUGAUAUCAAAUCAGCAAAUAUACUGAUAGACAAAAACUAUCGCGGCAAGGUUGCAGAUUUUGGUUUAACAAAGCUGGCUGAAGUAGGGAGUACUUCGUUGCCCACACGUCUUGUGGGUACAUUUGGAUACAUGCCACCAGAAUUGAUUUAGCAAUGUUUGGUGGUGAAAUAUUGUGCCAGGGGAUCCCCAAAAUUGAGCCCAACAGUGAUCUUCAGCAUGUUGUUGAGAUCAAGACUCCUUAGCAAAUUGAGAGAAUGAGGGAAACUUGCCGAGAAAGAAGGAAUUGACAAUGAUUGGUGGCAAUGAAGAUAAUGAUUCAUAAUUUGUUAUGGUGGCAUUUGAAUUUAAGUCUAUUUUCUUUUUUAUCACCUUUUAGCCAUGUCUUUAUUCAUGUGUACAUUCUCUUUGCUUCUCUUCCUGGAAUACUCUUUGUUGUGUGUUUUUCAGAAUGCUUUCUAAUAGAGAAUCAGCUAGACGCUCUAGAAGAAGAAAACAAGCCCAUUUGACCGAGCUAGAAACACAGGUUUUGUCCUUUAUCUUGUCCCUUGGGACCCAGCCUAUAACACUCUGCACUUUCUCAUCGCAGAAUACAACACAUGUAUUUGCUGCAUCAGAUAGGCCAACUGUCAUGUACAGUAGUAACAAGAAAUUACUCUACUGCAACGUAAAUUUGAAAGAGGUCAGUCAUAUGUGCCCUUUCAACUUUGCUGCUUUUCCGGACAGGUAAAUUUGGCUCUCUCUUAAUUUAAAGUUUUUUCCCCUCAUCAUCGUCAAUUGAAAUAAUGGAACUUGAUUCUUUUGUAUUUUUGCUUAAACAUACUUCUUGAAUUGAAAAGGGUGAAAUCUUUAAUUGUCAUUCUAGUCCAUGCUUCUAAUGGUAAUUCUAUGCUACUUCUUGGUAAUUUUAGCUCAACAGUUUGUUUUGGUCAAAGUCAUCACUCCUACCGUUGAACUCUGUCUCUCCAUUGUUGUGGUUUUCUGUCAUUAAAAGACCUGGACAACACGAUCUUGGGGUUAGUUUCUCAACAACAGCAACAAUUGAGAUGCAUGGAGGAACAUGCCCUUGUUUUGCUGUGCUGAUUUGCCCCUAUUUUGCUGGUGCUUUUUUUUUUUUAUCAGCAAAAGAAAGAAUGCCUUUAUUAAUGAAACCAAACAUACAUGUACAUACGGAGAACAUCAAUAAAGUAGAGGAUAGUGCAAACAACAUCACUGUGUGACUUCACAAUCUCAUCACAAGCCUCAAUAGUUGGUGAGAAACCAACAGAGAAAAGAAAACAAACAACCAGCAAUCCAAAGCAACACAAACCAAUUAACUAGUAUAAUAAAAACACACCAUCAGCUGCAAACACCACCUACUCCCUCAUACACAUAGUACCUCUUAACUUUACCUUUACAUAAACCUGCAAACACCACUACCUAAUUUCAUUGAAAUCUGUUUGGCAACCAUUGAAAAGGCAGUUAUUGCUGCUGGACUUCCACACACUCCACAUCCAGGCAAAAGGAAUAGAAUUCCACAUUCUCAGUUAUUCCAGGGAUUACCCAUUGGAUUUCCCACCAAUUGGAACAUUAACAAAAAUUCUUAGAUCUAAGGUGCUAGAAUUUAAGUGGUCUAAUGUUAGGUGACCUCAGAGCAGUGCUAUAAACAUAAUUUUGUGCAAAAAAUUCAUACAAAUUUACGUGGUUAUUUGUGAUCCUAACAUUUUUAAUCAUGGUAACAUUUGUAAUCCUUUCGUUUUGAGUCAAAACAUAAUGUUCGUUUUGAGCUCUGUUGCUGGUGUUGUUACUUGAGUGUGUAUCUUUCUGUCAGUUUGAGCUCUGUUGCUGGUCCAGUGUAGGAAGAGGAUGGCUGCGAGUCUUGUGGGUUGAUAUGUUGGACUAACUAGUCAAAGUCAAUUUACUUUCUUCGUAGGCUUUGCAUUGCACCAACAUUUUUUUGCCUAUAAAGCAUUUGGCAUCCCCUGUUAAUAGUCAGCAUUAAAACCUUUGUUUGUGAAUCUAGGAGCAAAGAUGGUCUCUAACCAACUAUGGCUUUCUCGCAAUCAACUCGUUCACCUCUUCUUCUUUCUUUACUUGUUUAGGUAGCAUUACUAUAUAGAUAUAGAUUGCUAUUAGUGAAUAAUUUUAAAUCUGAAUAGGCUAAUGAUUGGCAUAUUAAGGAGUGAUCUCUUCGUCUUUCUAUUAUACAUAACACUG